UGGGGAAUAUUGCGCAAUGGGCGAAAGCCUGACGCAGCGACGCCGCGUGAGGGAUGAAGGUUUUCGGAUCGUAAACCUCUGUCAGAAGGGAAGAAAGUGCGUGGUGCUAAUCAGCCGCGUAUUGACGGUACCUUCAAAGGAAGCACCGGCUAACUCCGUGCC
RNAcentral lists this ribosomal RNA (162 nucleotides) under uncultured bacterium. Its description in RNAcentral is "partial 16S ribosomal RNA". It matches the Rfam family "Bacterial small subunit ribosomal RNA", at positions 355 to 509 of the family's 1533-position model. The record is from RNAcentral.